AUAUUUUAUUUUAUAACUACUAAUGGUUUGAAUAUAGUAAUUAUGUUUAGUAAACAAAAUACUUAAUAUAAUAAUUGGGAAUUUGGUUUUUUUUUUUUUUAAAUUGUUAUAUACGCAACUUUCAUGUUUUCGCUUACUUGUAAGUUGUACGCAUUACACAAAAAUGUUAUUAAUGGAUUUGCAAUUUAUGCGUUGGAUGGUGUUGAGACGAAAUCCCCUUUGGGAGAGUGAGGUACACAUGGUAUAAUUUUAGCUCCCCCUAAAAUGUAUAUCUAGUUAUAGGCCUAAUACUCAAAUAUUUACGAGUAUAUCACUGAAAAUAUUUUAGAAUAUCUAACUAUUAUUAUUUUUGCGCAACUGGGUACAGUUAGCAAAAUAACUCGGAUGUGUUGUGCAAAAACCGCGGACACAAUUCAGUUAUCACGACGUAUAUUUUCGUUUUUAGGUAUGCAAUUCAUAUGCAUUCUUGUUAUUAAUUAAUUUAAUCGAUCCCUUGACCAACUCAUGAAACGGUAGAAAAGUUCCGGGCAUA
Non-coding RNA from Cinara cedri, 532 nucleotides. Lineage: Eukaryota; Metazoa; Arthropoda; Insecta; Hemiptera; Aphididae. The record is from the annotation of a GenBank genome assembly.